CUGCUUUCCCUGUGUGAGUCUCGAGACAGUCUAACGGCCACGACAAACAGGAUGGGAGGAUUCCAACAGUCAGCGCGUUGGCGUUCGCCGGAAAGUCCAGGUCCAGGUAAAGUCCAGGUGGAGCUAUAAAUAGCGUUAUUACUGCGGAUCUUUGGGGAAAGUCCCCGGAGGUGAGCGUGGCCGGGAAAUAACAGGAACUUCACACACGUGGAGCUGGACAGACUUAACCCUUUCGCUUCUAAACCGAUUUCCCUGCUCCACUGACACGUCACAUGGUCAGUGUUUGUAAAUAACGCCUGGAUGACGUGGAAUCUUGGCCUCGGCUCUGGUCAGACUACAUGACUGAACUGUUUAAAAUUUAAAAAAAAACAAACUUCGCGACCUUUAAACCCGCCUUGAUGUUUGAAAGGUGAACAUCUAGGCCAGGAUGUGAAAUCAAACACACUUUCCAUGUAAGUCUAGUAUACUUUGCUUUGUUAGAAUAAUAUCACGCGCUUUUAAAAACGAAUGUUGACUGAGUGUGAUCACCUUUGAGCUGGGUGGCCCGACAAGAGGUUAACGGUUAUGAUGAUGACCUAUGCGCGGCUAUGACGCACGGAAAUGCGAGCAUUGAGGGGAAGCCGCCCUCCUCCGUGUGGCUAUAACUGUCGUCACGCGCCGCCUUGCCGCACACCUUCAUCAACGUCCUUGUCCACCGACAUCGCCGACAUCGUCUGGCAUCACUACAACGUCUACAAUGAAGACGACGCCCUGUCUUCUUGCUGUCCUCACCCUCCAUACUUUGUGGUUCGCCGGGGUUAAGGUCUUUGUUGAAGGUGCAGGGGAUUGCCGAUGGUGUCGACUGUUGACGCGGCUGUCCAAGGAACAGAUGCAUCACCUUCUUUCAGAAUUGCAGACUCCAGCCUCACGCACAUCGCCUCGAGUAUCCUCCUCCUUCUCCUCCAACAGAAAUGCCAGGAGUGGCUCCAGAAGGGCGUGACCCCACUGCCGUCAUUCUGUGUGGAUGUCGGUGGGCGAGCUGAAAUCACAGCUGUGCAGCUGGAUGGCUAUUACCAGCAAUACGCCGCAGCUGUGUCCCCGGAGGAGCGACAGAGCGACCUGAGUGCAGCCAUAUAUUCCUCCGAUUCUCAGACAGGAGGCAUGCUGGCAUAGACAGUGUAGACACCUGGAGUCGUAGUCAUGAAGCCAGAGCAAGUCCUUUCCCCAAGUGGGGACCUCAAGGAAAAGCGUCUUAGUUUCGUAGUUACAGGGCUGUGCCCACACCCCUCGGAUGUUACUUUAUGUUUCUCUACCCCCAGAGCAUCCUUGUCACCACCUUAUAACAAAGACCUCAGAGGUAAAACAAUAUCUGUGGGGUGGAUACCAUUAUAGAACUUUGGAAACAAGACUUUUGUCCUGUCGUUCCCCAUGUUUUCCGAGGGCAACGCCUUGCCCUUGCUUCAUGACUGCCGCCCCAGACGAGCGAGGUCUGAAUCCCGCUAGUUCCGGGCUCACCCAAGGACAGGCACAGAAAACAGUUGGAAAACCGGUGUGAACUCUGUACAUGAAGGUUUGUUAGACUUCAAAACUGCAUAAUCGCUUAAUACCAAAUCAUAACACCACAUACAGCAAAACUCUUUCUCCUAUCCUCCUUCUAUAACGCAUGCAAACAUUAUGUUUUCAUGCACGCCAGCAAACAAACAAAGCAAAGUGAUAAUAGUAGCAAAAAGCUAUUUUUGUGACUGUACAACAUCGCUGAGGGACAAUGUUACCCCAGGUACGACAGGACAUGAAGUGUACAUCGACGAAAAAAGCAAACUCGUGUCACGCUGUUGAUGUUCCACUUCAGUGCACAUGCUCUUGUUUGCCUUGUGUGUGGUCUGAGAGUUGACUUCAUUGUAGAUGCCUAAUGUUUGUCGCCUCUUACAGUUAAUAAGAUGAACUGUCUGUCAUUUAAUGCUGUUAUCCCAAUAAAAACAUUCGAUUUUU
This 1968-nucleotide long non-coding RNA is filed under the name Pomacea canaliculata. RNAcentral's name for it is "uncharacterized LOC112576096". The record is from RNAcentral. Lineage: Eukaryota; Metazoa; Mollusca; Gastropoda; Architaenioglossa; Ampullariidae.